AAGUCCAUGAUUAUUCAAUCCCUAAGAUUAAGUAACUAACCCAUCUAUCAAUAUUUACUUCCUAUAUUAACAUAUUUACUUCCUAUAACCUAUAACACUCCCCCUCAAGUUGGAGCAUAAAUGUUAAUCAUGCCCAACUUGUUGCAUAUAUAAUCAACUCGAGUUCCAUUUAGAGGUUUAGUGAAGAUAUCUCCUAAUUGUUCUCCAGUUCGGAUAUGUCCUGUUGAUAUUAUCUUUUGUUGGACCUUUUCACGAACAAAAUGACAAUCAAUCUCGAUGUGUUUAGUCCUCUCGUGAAAUACUGGAUUAGAGACAAUGUGGAUAGCUGCUUGAUUAUCACACCACAACUUAGCAGGCGUCGAAUUUGUGAACCCAACUUCUUCUAAUAGUUGACGUAUCCACAAGACUUCACAAACAGUUUGUGCCAUGGCUCGAUAUUCAGAUUCAGCACUAGAACGGGAGACUACAUUUUGCUUCUUACUUUUCCAUGAGACCAAGUUAUCUCCCACAAAAACACAAUACCCAGUAGUUGACCUCCUAUCAACCUUCGAGCCUGCUCAAUCUACAUCAGAAAAGCAUUCAAUAUUUGAGUGCCUAUGGUUACCAUAGAAUAGCCUUCGUCCUGGGGCCUCUUUAAGGUAACAAAGAAUCUGUCCCAAAGCAUCCCACUAGGCAACAGUAGGAGAUGACAUUGAAUAUGCAAUAUCAGGACGAGUCACUGUCAAAUAAUUCAGCUUGUCAACUAAUUUUCUAUACCUUUCAGGAUCUGCAAAUGGCUCACUGUCUUCUGUGGUAAGUUGAAGGUUAGGGGUUAUUGGGGCACUACAAGGCUUAGCACCCAAUUUUCCUGUUUCUGCUAACAAAUCAAGAACAUAUUUUCUUUGAGACACAAAGAUGUCUUUCUUACACCGUAUAACUUCGAUUCCCAAGAAAUAUUUCAAUGAACCCAAAUCAUUUGUAUAAAACUGUGUUUUAAGAAAUUCUUUUAGGGAUGUGAUGCCAGCAAUGUCACUUCCUGUGAUAACGAUAUCAUCCACAUAUACUACAAGCAGAAUUACUCCACUAUCAGAAUUUCUAUAAAACACUGAGUGAUCACACUUACUCAUCUUCAUUCCAAACUGUUGGACCACCUCACCAAACCUGCCAAACUGUGCCCGAGGACUCUGUUUCAAGCCAUAAAGGGAUUUUCGAAGUCUACAAACCUUGCCCGACUCCCCCUGAGCAACAAAACCAGGUGGUUGCUCAAUAUAAACCUCCUCCUGAAGAUCACCAUGAAGAAAAGCUUUUUUAAUAUCCAGUUGAUGCAAAGGCCAAUCAUGUGUAGCUGCCAAGGAAAUAAACAAUCGAACAGAUGCGAGCUUGGCAAUUGGGGAAAAUGUAUCAGAAUAGUCAACUCCAUAAGUUUGUGCAUAACCUUUAGCCACUAAACAGGCCUUGAGGCGAGCAACAGAUUCAUCAGGAUUUACUUUCAUGGCAAACACCCAUUUGCACCCAAUAGCCUGCUGUCUUGGGGGCAAGGACAUCAACUCCCAAGUACCAUUAGUGUCAAGGGCCAUCAUUUCCUCUUCCAUUGCAGCACGCCAACUAGGAUGGGACAAAGUCUCAAUAACAGUUUUGGGAACUGAAAUAGAAACUAAAGCAGUGGCAAAACAACGAGAAGAAGAGGAUAAUUGAUCAUAAGAGACACAAGCUAAAAUAGGAUAAGUGCAAGUACGUUUACCUUUGCGAAGAGCAAUGGGCAAAUCCAAAUUAGACAGUGAAGGAUCAGUGGGAGAGGAUCUGUCAACGAAGAAGCGGGUAGUGGAGCGGAGUCAGAGUCCUCUAAGCGUCUGGAAUACACAUGAAAGAUGGGAGGGCGACCUGGCACAUGAGCGAAAGGUAUAGGAGUAGUCUAAGGAGACAGAGAGUGAACAGUGUAUAACAAGAGGUCAUCUUCCUCCCCUUGAGUGUUAUAAACAGAUGAUGGCGGAAAAAACGGAGUGGACUCAAAGAAUGUUACAUCCGCAAACACAAGAUACUGAUUCAAAUCAGGAGAAAAACAACGAUACCCUUUCUGACGUCGAGAGUAGCCAAGGAACACAUUUGAGUGAUUUGGGAUCCAAUUUAGUAACCUGUGGACGAAUAUCACGAACAAAACAAGUACACCCAAAGGUUCGUGGCUUAAUAGGAAACAAAGAUUUAGUGGGAAACAAAAUAUUAUAAGGAAUAUCACCAUGAAGGAUGGAGGAAGGCAUGCGAUUGAUCAAAAAACAAGCCGUGGAUAUAGCAUCAGCCCAAAAACAUUUAGGUACUUUCAUUUGGAAUAAGAGGGCUCUGGCUACUUCAAGAAGAUGUCGAUUUUUUCUUUCGGCAACUCCAUUUUAUGAAGAAGUGUCAAUACAAGAGGACUGAUGAAGAAUCCCUUUUUGUAACAAAUAGGAUUGAAAUUCCCCAGAGAAAUACUCUUUAGUAUUAUCACUUUGCAAUAUACGAAUGGGAAUAUUGAAUUGGGUUUGGAUUUCAGCAUGAAACACACAAAAGAUAGAAAAUAAUUCUGAACAACUCUUCAUUAAAAAUAACCAAGUAGUACGAGAGAAGUCAUCAACAAAAGUAACAAAGUACUUAAAGCCAAAUUUAGACACAGUAGGACAAGGACCCCAAACAUCUGAAUGUACUAACUCAAAGGGGUACGAAGCCCGUUUAUUGACUCGAGACACUGAAGGUAAACGAUGAUGUUUGACAAAUUGACAAGACUCACAAUCUAAAACAGACAAAGAAUGAAACUGUGGAUAUAACCUCUUCAAAGCCGAGAGAGAAGGAUGCCCCAAACGACAAUGAACAUCAAAAGGUGUUAAACGCGUAGAACAUGCAAGAGAUCUAGGUAGCUGCUGAUCCAAGACGUAGAGACCCUCUGACUCACGCCCUCUACCAAUAAUCUGCUUCGUCGAAAGAUUCUGAAAAAUACAGUGAUCAAGAAAGAAUGAGACACAACAAUUCAAUGCACGAGUGAGUUUACUAACAGAAAGUAAAUUAAAUGCGAACUUAGGGAGACAUAACACAGAGGAUACAGAAAAAUAAGGGGUUAAGUUGACAUGGCCAGAACCCAUGACAAAAGAUUUAGUACCAUCAACAAGAGUAACAUAAGAAGGCGAUGCAUGAGACUCGAGAUUGGACAAAAGGGUAAAAUUACCUGACCUAUGAUCGGUAGCACCAGAAUCAAUAACCCAUUUGGAGAAUGAAGAUACAAGACAUGCAGUAGAGUUACCUGACUCGGCAACUGCAGUGAUAGAAGAGGAAUUAGAGGAUUUUAGAGAUGUCUGGUAUUGGAUGAAUUUUGCAUACUCAUAUGCAAAUGUUAAAAUUCCCUGAUCUGAAGGGGCCUCAACUGCCAUAUGUGCCAUUUGUAUGCGCUGAUUUUUAUUCUGUAGAACAGUACCCGUGAAUAGUACCGAUGAACAGUGCCCGUGAACGGUACCGAUGAACAGUGCCCGUGUACCGAAAAAAAAAAAAUAAAAACCUUCACCCAACACUCGAACGGCAAACAAACCUCAGAUCUGACAAGGGGACGGUGUGGCAACUCCAGCGACGGUGAGAUCCAAAUGUCUCCCUUUAUGGAUAACCCAAAUAAACAGAGCUCUAAGUCUCAAAAAAAAAAAUUUUAACUUGACGAGAGAGAAAAAAAAAAUUAAAUCUCUACAAGAAAGGCUCUGAUACCAUGUAGAAGGAUAAUAUUUAUUGUUUUCUCACAAUAAAGAUUACAACCUAUUUAUACAUGAGAGAGUAUCUAAACAGGAAGGAAAAUCAAGCCCAAUAUUUUUUUCCUAUAUUAACAUAUUUACUUCUUAUAACCUAUAACAAUAAUGACAAGGAUGAACAACAAAAGUUUUUCUAAAAAGUAUUGCUUAGUCUGUUUUGGCUGGAUUUUAUGUGCUUGAUAAAGAUAAAAACGUGUAAACCAAUGGAAGUUAAAU
Molecule: long non-coding RNA, 3950 nt
Filed under: Manihot esculenta (cassava)
Lineage: Eukaryota; Viridiplantae; Streptophyta; Magnoliopsida; Malpighiales; Euphorbiaceae
Description: long non-coding RNA (MESC_LNC000563)
Source: RNAcentral